AAAAGUCAAAUUUCAAGUGUACAGUUAAAGAUCCAGGGGCAAAAUGGUCCAACUUGAGAAAUAAUGGGAAUUUUUGAAUGGGGAUUUUUGCAACACAUCACAAAUGCUGUUUGGAAAUGGUUUGAAUCAUCAUAACAUGCCAAGGCCUCAUGGUUUGAUAUUUCACUUUUGGAAUGAACUUGAAAAUGCAUAACAUAGCCAUGACAUAGUGAAAUUCUAAAAUACAUAUCCAAUCAACAUGAAACAAGUGG
This 251-nucleotide long non-coding RNA is filed under the name Lathyrus oleraceus (garden pea). RNAcentral's name for it is "Pisum sativum (pea) long non-coding RNA (PSAT_LNC006482)". Lineage: Eukaryota; Viridiplantae; Streptophyta; Magnoliopsida; Fabales; Fabaceae. The record is from RNAcentral.